UAGUCCACGCCGUAAACGAUGUCGACUAGCCGUUGGGAGACUUGAUUUCUUAGUGGCGCAGCUAACGCACUAAGUCGACCGCCUGGGGAGUACGGCCGCAAGGUUAAAACUCAAAUGAAUUGACGGGGGCCCGCACAAGCGGUGGAGCAUGUGGUUUAAUUCGAUGCAACGCGAAGAACCUUACCAGGCCUUGACAUCCUGAGAAUUUGGUAGAGAUACCUUAGUGCCUUCGGGAACUCAGUGACAGGUGCUGCGUGGCUGUCGUCAGCUCGUGUCGUGAGAUGUUGGGUUAAGUCCCGUAACGAGCGCAACCCUUGUCCCUAUUUGCCAGCACUUCGGGUGGGAACUCUAGGGAGACUGCCGGUGACAAACCGGAGGAAGGUGGGGACGACGUCAAGUCAUCAUGGCCCUUACGACUUGGGCUACACACGUGCCACAAUGGUCGGUACAGAGGGCAGCAAAGCGGCGACGUGGAGCCAAUCCCUUAAAACCGGUCGUAGUCCGGAUUGGAGUCUGCAACUCGACU
RNAcentral lists this ribosomal RNA (526 nucleotides) under uncultured bacterium. RNAcentral describes it as "bacterial SSU rRNA". It matches the Rfam family "Bacterial small subunit ribosomal RNA", at positions 791 to 1317 of the family's 1533-position model. The record is from RNAcentral.